CCUACGGGCGGCUGCAGUGGGAAUAUUGGACAAUGGGCGAAAGCCUGAUCCAGCCAUGCCGCGUGUGUGAAGAAGGCCUUCGGGUUGUAAAGCACUUUCAGUGGGGAAGAAAGCCUUGGGGCUAAUACCCUCGAGGAAGGACAUCACCCACAGAAGAAGCACCGGCUAACUCCGUGCCAGCAGCCGCGGUAAUACGGAGGGUGCGAGCGUUAAUCGGAAUUACUGGGCGUAAAGCGCGCGUAGGCGGUCUGAUAAGCCGGUUGUGAAAGCCCCGGGCUCAACCUGGGAACGGCAUCCGGAACUGUCAGGCUAGAGUGCAGGAGAGGAAGGUAGAAUUCCCGGUGUAGCGGUGAAAUGCGUAGAGAUCGGGAGGAAUACCAGUGGCGAAGGCGGCCUUCUGGACUGACACUGACGCUGAGGUGCGAAAGCGUGGGUAGCAAACAGGAUUAGAUACCCCAGUAGUC
RNAcentral lists this ribosomal RNA (464 nucleotides) under Vreelandella stevensii. RNAcentral describes it as "partial 16S ribosomal RNA". It matches the Rfam family "Bacterial small subunit ribosomal RNA", at positions 338 to 795 of the family's 1533-position model. The record is from RNAcentral. Lineage: Bacteria; Pseudomonadati; Pseudomonadota; Gammaproteobacteria; Oceanospirillales; Halomonadaceae.